GGGCGAGUAGCUCAGUGGGAGAGCGCAUGCAUCACAAGCAUGAGGUCGGAGGUUCGAUCCCUCCCUCGCCCA
RNAcentral lists this transfer RNA (72 nucleotides) under Candidatus Parcubacteria bacterium. RNAcentral's name for it is "tRNA-Val". It matches the Rfam family "tRNA". From Rfam's summary of the family: Transfer RNA (tRNA) molecules are approximately 80 nucleotides in length. Their secondary structure includes four short double-helical elements and three loops (D, anti-codon, and T loops). Lineage: Bacteria; Candidatus Parcubacteria. The record is from RNAcentral.